AUUGAUAUCCACAUAGAUAUGGACUUCAGUGAGAGUGACACCGAUUACUAGUAAUCCUUGGGUUAUUGCCAAAUCGAUUGAUAAUCAAACUUUCAAUGAAAA
Molecule: long non-coding RNA, 102 nt
Organism: Telopea speciosissima
Lineage: Eukaryota; Viridiplantae; Streptophyta; Magnoliopsida; Proteales; Proteaceae
Exons: 2
Source: RefSeq, a predicted model, not a curated record